Molecule: RNA transcript, 5198 nt
Organism: Rhincodon typus (whale shark)
Lineage: Eukaryota; Metazoa; Chordata; Chondrichthyes; Orectolobiformes; Rhincodontidae
Gene name: small integral membrane protein 10-like protein 2A
Exons: 4
Source: RefSeq, a predicted model, not a curated record
GUGCUGAGGCUCAAGCACAGGCCGGACACGUUGUUAUUUUGACGAUGGGAAAGUUUGAUUGAAGUAGACAAACUUUGCACCAACUUUUUGAGUGGGACCUUAGGCCGGAAGGGGUGUGGCCGGAAAAGAGGGCGGGUGAAUGACGCGAUUCCGGUUUCCGGCCAUUGGUGCCAACCGCGUCGGGGGUAUAUGGCGGGACUGCCGCACCUGCCGCUCACUUUAAUCGGGCCAGUAGUCCGCUCUUACGCCGUCUUCUCGAAAGGACUGAGCCGGACUCUCGUCACUUUCUUCAACCUGGCCUGGAGGCUCCGCCUCAGGUUCCCCUACCUCUACUUGAUCGCUUCCCUGAUGCUGAAUGUCCGCUUGCAGGUCCAUAUUGAGAUUCACUAGUUCUGAGGUAUUUUUGAUGGAGAUGAUCUAAUGCUGGAACUACAAAUUUAAUGCUUAAUCAAUAAACACUGCCAGCUAAUGCCAACAUUUCAGAAUAUGCAGAGUGUGGAAGAAUUGAAGGAUAUUGGCCGUGCAUUGUAUCUUGCAAUUAAAGAUGGUGGUGAAGGCUCUUCAUCCAAUGAAAGCGGAGAUUAUGGACAUGGGAAUGAUGGUUACGAUCAUGAUACAACUAAUGAUGGUCACAUAUUUCGCCCACAGCCACAGGAAUUCAACUCUGUCUUUGGAGCAGCCAUCCCUAUAAGAGUCUGCCCUGAUGUUAUGCUGAAGCAUGUUCUGUUACUCCAAGUUGUCAGAAAUGAGCCUGUUCCUUUCAGAAAGUGGCACAUUUUCCAUCAUUGUUUUGAAUCAGUUUUUCAGACAGUCCAUUGCCCUCUAGAUUUGAAGAGGGGAAAGAGAAAUCCGGAUGCCAUAUUUACCCAAAAUGCUCUGAUAAUGAUGGUUGACUGUCUACAAAGAGCCAUUCGGUCUUUAAAGAUCUUUGGAAUGUGGGUUUACACACUAGAAAUGUUGGUUCACUUUACAUAUUUGUGGUUGUUUGAGAGACCAGCUGACUGCAAAUCAAAUUGGCCACAAUUCAAGAAUCUGACAGACAAAUUAAGUUUCUCACUUACAUGUGGAUUGGAUGUGAGGAAGAAGUGGCCUUGGGAUCUGACUGGCAUCUUUUUUAUGUUUUGCAAAUAUCCGAUACACCUUGUGCAAACUAGCUGACCCUUUGUGUUCCUUGAGCUGCUGACUUUGGAGUGCAUUCUUGAAUAAGAAAAGCUGUCGCCUGAUUUGAAAUGUUCACCUUGCAAUGCAGUGGACAUUCGUAAUAAGGGCUUUUGUUCUAGCUGUUGUGUGGCAUGCUGUGCUUAAAGGUUUGUUGGUUUUGUUAUGGGAGUCAAGCUUGCAAAGAGAUAACCACAGCACCAGGGUGAAGGAUCUGAGAAUUCGAAGGAAGAGUGAAAGAUAAUCAAUGCUUUUAAAUUGUGGUUUUCUGUAUGGAUAUUUUUCAGUAUGAUUGGCUGCUUACCCAGCUUGAUUACAGAAUUUGUUCCCUGGAGGUCCCUUUUGACUUAGUGCCAGAUUCAAAUUUAUAUUGGGGAAAGGAAAUCCCUGACAUGGAGCUUGCCAGAUUGUGCAGCUUCCUUCGAGAUCAGCAACAAAUGCUAUCACUUUACUACUCACUGUAAAAAUCCAGGCACCUUUGAGUUUUGUUCUCCUUGUGAGAACUGCCUGGCCAAUUUAAAAUCGUGAUUGCUUGCGACAGUUUUACAAAAAUCAUGUCAAUGGAAGCAGCUGUGCACAUGCUUCAUUGCCUCAGUCCCGAUGAUAGCACUGAAAUAAAGAAUCACUUCCUAUUCCCUAAUACUGCAGCAGUACCUUUAUUAGCAUAACAGUUUUGGAUAAAUUAAUACAGUUCCACAUUCUGUUAUUGCGUUUGCAUUCAAAUUUACUGUUUAAGUUAUCUUUCAAUUUUCAUUCCUUUGCAGACAAUUGAGUUUUAUUUACCGAAAACAUUUUGAAACCACACUAACAGCGUGUAUAUUGACUUGCUGCACAAAUGCAUUGUGUGAUUAACACAACACAACACAACACUAAUGGUAUUUUAAGGGCUCAGUGUGAAGCUGGUUGAUGACUAGAUUGUGUUUGUGUUUUUCUUUUUAAACCUGAUACAUGGGGGAUAAAAAUAAAAAUGCCAAAUGCAAGAAAUGUGGAAUAGAAACUAACUGGUAAGAGUGCUAAGUGACAGCAGGGAAAGCAGAUUAAACACUUCCAGGUUGAAUCUUGUUGAAAUAAUGGUCAAAGUUUCUCUUUGCAGCUUGUCUGUUUACCGCCCCUACCUAACAAAGCAUCUCCACUCCUCCCUCUCCUACACACGGUCUCUUGCACUUGCUUGUUCGAAGGCUGCUGUCAUAGUUCUGUCUCCUUUCUCCAAUUCUGAGCCAAGUUGCUGGCUACAAAGGAUUGGGGCAGGGAAUAUGUGUGCAGAAUUGGAAAGUGCUGUUUGUCACUUCCAGCCUUUCCUUCUGUCUGCCUGCUGUUUGUAGUAAGGGGCUUCAGAUUCAGUGUGCUGAGCAGCUUGAGAGGUUCAAGAUUUCAACUCCCAUUGGGCCUUUUAUACAGGCAAUUUUAAAUUUUAAUAAAUUGUCCUGGUAGACAAAAUCUUGUUGUCGGGCCAACGUUUCCACAUGGUAUUUCACCGUCUUUAAAACACACUUUCCACUUUAUGGUAAUUCGUUUGGAGAACUAACUACCAACACCUUCAUUUUUUUUUUCAGUUACGUAUUUGUUAGUGUUUAUUUUAUGUGUGAACAAGCAUUGGUUUUUGUUUAUAAUUCCUUCACUUACAUCUCAUCCUCUGUAAGGACACAUAGUAUCACAGCUGCAGGAAUCCUGACCAGGCUGCUCUUCUCAUUGGUGAGCUUAUUGCCCAUUUUACCAUAAAAUCUGAUUAUAUGAACUUAAGAAAUGGGAACAGGACAACACUAUGUAGCCUCUUGAACCCACUGUAGCCAAGGCAGAAGCCUGGCACACUUUCCCUAUCUCCUUUUAUCUUGUUUAUUGGCCAAACAAUGUCUUGAUCUGGAGUGUACUCAAUGACUGAACAUCUCUAAUACUUUUGGAUGAGAAAUUACAAAAAAAAACCCUUUGAGUGAAGAAAUUUCUCUUCUUUCGAUCCUAAAUUGCCAUUUAUCCUUAUCUUGAGAUGAUACCCUAAUUCUAGAUAUUUACAGCCAUGAAAGACAGCUGCUCAAUAUCCACUCUAUCAAACCCUCAAAGAAUUUUAGUUUCAUUGAGGUCACGCUAACUCUCCUAAAUCCCUGAGAGUAUAGGCUUAUUCUAUCCUAACUCUCUUUGGGACAGUUCACUUGUUCCAGGAAUCAGUCUGGUAACUCAUCACUACACCACCUCUGAGGCAAGUAUGUCCUUUGUGUAAGGAGACAUACUAUACAUGGCACUUCAAGUAUGGUCCCACCAAAGACCUAGAAUAAUAUUCUUACCUGCUCCCACUUCUGUUUUGGUUUGAUGGAUGGUGAAUUGACAUGCAGAGGGAAUCCUUCUCUGUAUCUUGACUUCAUUUGUUCCUGGGAUGAAGGACUUAAGAGAGGCUGAACCGAUUAGACUCUAGAAGAAUGAGGUGCUCUUAUUGAAAUGCAUAAGACUGAGAGGGUACUGGAUUGGAUGGAUGCACAGAGGGGUUCUCCUCAUGUGGGAGAGACUAAGACAAAGGGAUUGGUUAAGAACAAAUUAGAGAUGAGAAACCCCUUCUCUAAGGGUUUAAAGUGUGGCAUUCUCUUCUCCAAGAGAUGGUGGAAACUGGGCCUUCAAAUUUAUUCAAGGUUGAGUUAGAUUUUGGAUCAGUGAAGAAACCAAGGGCAAUGGAUGACAGGCAAAGUGGAUCUGAGACCACGAUCAAAUCAGCCAAGGUCUUAUUGAAUUGUGGAACAGGCUCAAAGGGCUGAAUGGCCUGCUCUGACUCCUAUGUUCCUCUUUUUGAAACAUUGCUAAGCGAGUCAGUGCAGGGAUCCUUGUCAGUAUUGAUUAUUGACAUUGAUGCCAAUUUUACAACUGACUCACCUUAGUUCUAGUUCUGUAGUACGUUCAUAUUAUGAACAUGGACAUGUAAGUUUCAUGUAAAGAAUUGGUAUUUCUAUGGAAACUAAUUAUGAAAUAAAAGAUUUUAACUUUGAAAUUAAACCUUUAAUUAAAGAGGAAGAAUGCCAGCACAACUGCUUCAUCUUUGUUCACUGCUAUUAACUUACUCUUACCAUCUUUUCAGCUUUCUUUGGAUAAAACAAAUGCACACUUUCUUGACAAACAUUUACUAACAUUGAAAGAUUAGGCAAAACAGUGAAAUAACUUUUUAGUUUGGCAAAAUUUAAGCUUCAGGUGAAUUGGUAGAAGAACUCAGGAGAUAAUCAGAGGAGAAUGUGCCAUAGUAAUUUCUGCUAUGAAGUCAUAAAUUUGUCUCUGUAUUUAUGAUGGAAGUUGUGGAUAUAAACUUGUCACACAGAUAUAAGCCCUUUGUCCAGUGAUGCUUAUGUGCAUGCCCUAAGUGGGAAGAAUGACAUAGUUUACAUAAAUUGUUUUCAUGAGAAUGUGGCCAUAGGAACUUAAAUUGAAAGGUUAAUAGGAAAUAGAUGCAAAUGCAAAAUUUUUAAUAGAGCAGAUAAUACAACAAGAUUUUGUUUUGGUUAUUUAUUCUCUUUUCUUCAUUGGGGAUAUGUUCUUAGGGUACUAGCAGUGCACUCUUUAACGUGUGAGCUCAGAGUAAAGCAACGCAACAAAAAUGAGGGCAUCAAUUUUAAACCCCAGUGCUGUCGUGACAAGCAUUCACACACAUACUAUACUACAAAGUUCAACAGGUGGGAAUUGGAGUGGGUAGCAGGCCACCCCUCCCCAUCCUCUCCCCUUCCAGCUGAAGUCCAAAAUGCUAAAGAUAAUCCUCACUUUAAUUGAGAUCCACUAACACCAUGGAUUGAAUAAAGGCCGAGCCUCAGUCAGGCUUUGCAUUGCUGAGGUGCAAGUAUAGUUUUUGUCAAACAUUUCCUUCAUAUGUUUUUGGAUUGCCAAAUAUUGUAUACUUUAUUAUCGUCCCUUUAAGGGAUUUAAGUGACAAAAGAUUUGUUUGGAAAUCUGAUUUAUGUAUAAUUUUAUUCAUAAUGUAAUGUACACAAUUGAUUUUAGAAUAACUGACUAUUAGGUAGGGAACAUUUUCCCUCUAUUUAAAAAUGUAUGUAAUAAAAUGUGCCUGUUUUCCUAAA